CCGGCGGGGUUCCCCCCCCCCCCCCGGGAAUUUUUUUUCACAGUAUAAAAACUUUGUAUCUUGAUAUCCUACUUGAAUAACUGUGGGUAAUUCUAAAGCUAAUACAUGCACCAAAGCUCCGAAUUUUUGACAAGCGCAUCUAUUAGAUUAAAACCAAUCGGGUUUCCGCCCGUUUGUUGGUGACUCUGAAUAACUAUGGCUGAUCGCAUGGUCUAGAACCGGCGACGUGUCUAUCAAGUGUCUGCCUUAUCAACUGUCGAUGGUAGUUUAUGUGCCUACCAUGGUUGUAACGGGUAACGGAGAAUAAGGGUUCGACUCCGGAGAGGGAGCCUGAGAAACGGCUACCACAUCCAAGGAAGGCAGCAGGCGCGCAAAUUACCCACUCUCGGCAUGAGGAGGUAGUGACGAAAAAUAACGAGACCGUUCUCUAUGAGGCCGGUUAUCGGAAUGGGUACAAUUUAAACCCGUUAACGAGGAUCUAUGAGAGGGCAAGUCUGGUGCCAGCAGCCGCGGUAAUUCCAGCUCUCAAAGUGUAUAUCGUCAUUGCUGCGGUUAAAAAGCUCGUAGUUGGAUCUGCGCCUCAGGACUUGGUCCGCCCACUGGGUGAGAACUGGGCUCCUGGGCUAGUUCUGCUGGUUUUCCCUACGUUGCCUUCAUCGGUAGCGUAGGGUGGCUAGCGAGUUUACUUUGAAAAAAUUAGAGUGCUUCACGCGGGCUUAUGUCUGAAUACUCGUGCAUGGAAUAAUAGAAUAGGAUCUCGGCUCUAUUUUGUUGGUUUUCUGAUCUGAGAUAAUGGUUAAGAGGGACGGACGGGGGCAUUCGUAUCGCUGCGUGAGAGGUGAAAUUCUUGGACCGUAGCGAGACGUCCGACUGCGAAAGCAUUUGCCAAGAAUGUCUUCAUUAAUCAAGAACGAAAGUCACGGUCAGGAAAAAAACCCCCCCACACCAACACACACAAAAAAGCAAGGGGG
RNAcentral lists this ribosomal RNA (971 nucleotides) under Iheringascaris sp. n. 23 NJ-2013. Its description in RNAcentral is "partial 18S ribosomal RNA". It matches the Rfam family "Eukaryotic small subunit ribosomal RNA", at positions 121 to 1020 of the family's 1831-position model. The record is from RNAcentral. Lineage: Eukaryota; Metazoa; Nematoda; Chromadorea; Rhabditida; Raphidascarididae.